Molecule: long non-coding RNA, 785 nt
Organism: Cyprinus carpio carpio
Lineage: Eukaryota; Metazoa; Chordata; Actinopteri; Cypriniformes; Cyprinidae
Source: Ensembl
GCCAUGUUUGGUAUCAUCAGGGCGAGUGGUACAAUGGUCUCAAUCCUGCACUGGUAUAUCUCUGGAAACAUUAAACAUAGUUAGUCUCAGGCUCAAGAGCUGCUGCAUCAGUGUCAGUUAUAUCUUACAGAGUAUUUCUUUGCUCACAGAGAUGGCAUUCUCCUGGGUUUGCCGUAUCUGUGGCCUCCACCUUUACGAGCUCAACUUGCAGUAGCAGUUACAGCCUGGACAGCUCACCUUUAGCAGGAGAAGAGCCACUUCCACAGUACAAACAAGAGACACCAGUGAGAGAGAGAGAUCGCUGUUCCUGAAAUGAACUGCACCCUGUUCCUGUUAGCCGGCUACGCCAAGUAUAGGCAAACUUAUACCUGGAUUCAAUCCAAUCAUGAGCGCCUAGUAAACAUCAGAGAAACUGAUACACUAGUCAAAGAUACACCAAUGAAGCUGAAGUCAAUCACAGACUGAGUUUCAACAUCCAAAGAAACUCAUGUGUGGGACAUAAUGAGUGAGGUGGUGGGACUGUGCACCAUGCCGCCUCCAGACAACCCCUUCUCUUUGGACAUGCGCUACCUCCAAACCCUGUCCUUCCCAGAGCGCUUCCUGGUCACUGGGGCCCUCCUGAAUUUCCUGGAGAUGAUUGUGGUUCAGGGAAUCCGAGAGGAGCUGUUCUAUGAUCUGGGAAGAGUUGAAGCCGCUGAGAAGACUUCAUUUCCAAAACCUUUCUAAGGUCCAAAGGUUUCAGGGUAGCGACAGGACUCAAAGUCAUUUACCCACCAAAUGAAUAU